GUGGGAUGGCGGAUGAAGAAGAGGAUCCCACCUUUGAGGAAGAAAAUGAAGAAAUUGGAGGAGGUGCAGAAGGUGGACAGGGUAAAAGAAAGAGACUUUUUUCUAAAGAAUUACGGUGUAUGAUGUAUGGGUUUGGAGAUGACCAGAAUCCUUAUACUGAAUCAGUAGAUAUUCUUGAAGACCUUGUCAUAGAGUUCAUCACUGAAAUGACUCAUAAGGCAAUGUCAGUUGGAAGACAAGGUCAGGUACAAGUUGAAGAUAUCGUCUUCUUGAUUCGAAAGGACCCAAGAAAGUUUGCUAGGGUUAAAGACUUGCUUACUAUGAAUGAAGAAUUGAAACGUGCUAGAAAAGCAUUUGAUGAAGCAAACUAUGGAUCUUGACAUCUUUUCUGAAGCUUCAUUAUGUUCUGGGGAAACCAUACUUAAUAACUGUAUUUUCCACAGUAAGGCCCUGAUACCUAACCAUGUGAAUGAAAAAUGGAGAACCACAAAGUUUUCAGGCUUUAUUUUCAUGUUUUCAAUUUUAGAGUGAUAUAUGAGCCUUUAAUUGCCUGCCAUUAUAUUACCCUACUUUAAUGACAUAUUAGAUUUUAAUGACCACAUGUAAGUCAAAGUACCUUUGGUUUGCAAACCAUUCAGUUUCUUCUGACUCUUGACCAUCUCAAUGAUGAAUUAAUAUUUAUGUAUACUUGUGCCAUUGUAGGUUGUACUAUAGCUGUUUAAUAUGUGAAAUCUAAAUGGCAGCUUUGACUUUGAUAGCUAAGAUGUGUUUCAUAUAUUUCUAAAGCUUUUAGACCAAAGUAGUGUAAGUUAUUAAAA
Molecule: RNA transcript, 818 nt
Organism: Capra hircus (goat)
Lineage: Eukaryota; Metazoa; Chordata; Mammalia; Artiodactyla; Bovidae
Gene name: transcription initiation factor TFIID subunit 13 pseudogene
Exons: 1
Source: RefSeq, a predicted model, not a curated record